RNAcentral lists this ribosomal RNA (149 nucleotides) under uncultured bacterium. RNAcentral describes it as "partial 16S ribosomal RNA". It matches the Rfam family "Bacterial small subunit ribosomal RNA", at positions 338 to 485 of the family's 1533-position model. The record is from RNAcentral.
CCUACGGGAGGCAGCAGUGGGGAAUAUUGGACAAUGGGGGGAACCCUGAUCCAGCCAUGCCGCGUGUGUGAAGAAGGCCUUCGGGUUGUAAAGCACUUUCAGAUGUGAGGAAAGGUGAGUAGUUAAUACCUGCUUACUGUGACGUUAGC